This 490-nucleotide ribosomal RNA is filed under the name Staphylococcus aureus. RNAcentral's name for it is "bacterial SSU rRNA". It matches the Rfam family "Bacterial small subunit ribosomal RNA", at positions 26 to 498 of the family's 1533-position model. Lineage: Bacteria; Bacillati; Bacillota; Bacilli; Caryophanales; Staphylococcaceae. The record is from RNAcentral.
AGGAUGAACGCUGGCGGCGUGCCUAAUACAUGCAAGUCGAGCGAACGGACGAGAAGCUUGCUUCUCUGAUGUUAGCGGCGGACGGGUGAGUAACACGUGGAUAACCUACCUAUAAGACUGGGAUAACUUCGGGAAACCGGAGCUAAUACCGGAUAAUAUUUUGAACCGCAUGGUUCAAAAGUGAAAGACGGUCUUGCUGUCACUUAUAGAUGGAUCCGCGCUGCAUUAGCUAGUUGGUAAGGUAACGGCUUACCAAGGCAACGAUGCAUAGCCGACCUGAGAGGGUGAUCGGCCACACUGGAACUGAGACACGGUCCAGACUCCUACGGGAGGCAGCAGUAGGGAAUCUUCCGCAAUGGGCGAAAGCCUGACGGAGCAACGCCGCGUGAGUGAUGAAGGUCUUCGGAUCGUAAAACUCUGUUAUUAGGGAAGAACAUAUGUGUAAGUAACUGUGCACAUCUUGACGGUACCUAAUCAGAAAGCCACGGCU